RNAcentral lists this ribosomal RNA (253 nucleotides) under uncultured bacterium. RNAcentral's name for it is "partial 16S ribosomal RNA". It matches the Rfam family "Bacterial small subunit ribosomal RNA", at positions 524 to 776 of the family's 1533-position model. The record is from RNAcentral.
GACAGAGGGGGCAAGCGUUGUCCGGACUGACUGAGCGUAAAGCGCGCGCAGGCGGUCAGAGGCGUCGGUGCUCAAAGUCCACCGCUUAACGGUGGGAGGCGUGCCGAUACGCUCUGACUGGAGGGCGGGCGAGGGUGGUGGAAUUGCCGGUGUAGUGGUGAAAUGCGUAGAUAUCAGGAGGAACACCAAUAGCGAAGGCAGCUCGCUGGGACGUUACUGACACUGAGGCGCGAAAGCGUGGGGAGCGAACAGG